AGUUUUGUUGUACUAAUUUGAUUUGGGUACUAAAAUUGUUAUGUCUAGUGGAAAUUAUAGCAUGUUUAUAUACAAAUUAAUCAGUAUGUUACAAGAAUCCCAAGAAUGUUAAUUAUAUUCACCCGGGUCAUUUCCCGGCCGGGAAAAAAUGCGCCACAGACCCGGGCGCCAACCGUCGGUGUCGCCGGGCUUUAUCUUAAGUAAUAUCACAGACAAAAGUUAGAAUUUAAUUUGCAUUGCUAAAAUCGUUACAAGACGGCUAAUAAUUUUAACAUAAACGUUGUAUAUUUUGCACAAGAGAUAAAAAUUUGUAGCCCUUUGUAAUAAAAUUAGUUACAACUAAAAUUUGUAUGUGAACUAUAGCAUGUUUAUAUUCAAAGUAAUCACAAUUUUAUAAGAAUUCCAGCAAUGUUAAUUAUAUUCUUCCAAGUCAGUUUAGUGAUAUUUCAUAAGAGAAAACCUGAAAGUCACUGUUAAGGACAGAUAAAUAAAUAAGCUCUAGACCUUGGCAUCAACUGUCAAACCGAUAACCCUCCUCCCCAUCUUGCCGCGAAUCCGAUCACGAGUAAACGGGCCAUUUCGCGUCUCGUAAUUUUAGCCGCGUCGAUUUACGAGCGUCCGUUUUAACGCGAUACUACAAAAACGAUGUUUUGUAGGAGAUGGGCCGAGGUGCAUUUGGGUAUAUUGGGUCUUUUUAGUAUUUUGUGUUAGUCUCGAGUACCAAAGUAAAUUGUUCCAUUGAAACCACUUUAAUUGAGUCCAAAUUUGGUUUAAAGCUAUUAGCUCUCUAGGAAUGCGCCUCGCGUCACCGACGCGUACGCGGGACCGGUAACAAUUUUACGUAAACGCGUCGACGACGUAAUAUUCGACAAUGCCGUCGGGUCGUCGACGUCCCGUUUCUUCGUUUAGUAAAUAGUCGUGGCGAUUUUUGUCGCGCGCGUGUCCGUCGACGGGCACGCCGAGGGCGGUCCGUCCGCGGAUGCGGGCCCGCUCGAGAUUCGGCCCGUAUUGCGCAGUCGUACGGUCCGUCGUCGUUUGCGAGAAGUACUCGUUUACGUAGUCUCGCGUGCAGUAUAUUGCAUUUUCUAGCAAUAGACUAGUUACGAUCGUAGAUUAGUUCCAUCACGUAGGGUAUCGUCUCGCCGUCGGCCCGGGACACACCUCCGGCCACUCGACACUCUGCUUACCGGUACACGACACAAAUUAAAAAUGAUCAACACGAUAUUUUACGAGGGCAUUAUGAUUGAUUUAUAAUACCCUAUGCAAUGGUUGUAUAGAUGUAGUGCAGUAUAAUUAUUAAAUGCAGGCAGCAUUCACAUCACAAACUUAACCCACAGAAGAAGUCGCCUCGGGCAGCGGAAGCGCGAUCCGGGAGAAGGACACGAAGAACGACCGUAGAUCGUCGCUCCGGAGACGGGUCGGCGAGUGCCGCUCUCCGACGCGAGACGAUCGUCGAGAAUAACCUACGUGUUUUUCUAUUUUUAUGGAUGCUAUUUUAAGGAUAACUAAAGCUCAGUCAACGGUUAUUUUAGCUUAAGGUCAUAUUAUACGUGUAUUUGUAAUGUACAGUAUUUCAUUGAGUAAGAAUGCUAAAACUUGCCCGGCGGUCGACCCCCAAAACAACUGCGGCGACCCGCUCCGGCACUCGAGAAGACGGAAGCUCCGAGUACACGACGUUAAAGAUUAACGGAUAGUUUGACGACUAUACCACCCCUUGUUCCCUCUACCUCCAGCUAAAUGUAUCCCUCCCUCCACUUACCACUCUUCCUUUCCUCAUCUAUUAUCUUUCCCUUCCACCCCUCUAUCCCACCAUCUGUCCCCCCUCCCUUUCUUCACGUACCAUUCUUCCUUUCCUUAUCUAUUAUCCUUCCCUUCCACCCCUCUAUCCCUUCCCUCCACAUACCACCUUUCUCUCCUAGCACCUGUCGUUCCUUUUUUGUGUUUUAUUUAAUAAGUUUUAUAGUAUAUGAUGGUCACCUUAUUAAUAAUGUACCAUUUUGUGUGAUUACAAUUACACUACACACACUUAGUCGAAGUGACCAGUUAUUAGUGUUGAUAUUAAUGGGAUAAAUAUUAGAUAAGUUUAUUGGAGUUUGCUAUAAAAUAUGUGACUAUAAUUAUAAAUUGUGAGUGUGAAGAAGGGUUUAUAAGUUGUAUAUAUGUCAAUUAGAGGAACAAAUAAUUUGCUAACCACACCCUAGUCCUUCAAUGGAAAACGCAUCGAAAUGCGCAGCGGCGAAUGCAUUCGGCGGGAGAAUAAUGCGGCGACACGCGUAGAAUACUCGUACGCCACUCUCGGGCACGUACGUUUCCAUUUACUAAAGUUAGGUGGGUUUGUUUGGGUGGCGUGGGACCCAGAGGGCAUCGGCAGGCGGUCGCGUCCGGCGGUUGCCGUGCGAGAAAUUGGGAGGACGGGCUUUCACGUUGCAGAAACUAAGGAACGGCAUCUUCCGGCGGAACCACAGCCCGCGAUUAAAGGAACGCUCGGGUUUGACGCCCACGGACCGAGCGCGCGGCUCCUCCGCCGUAACAAGAGUAGUCGAUUGAAGUCCCCUCUUUUGCCUGGGUGGAUGUGUCUGUGCUAACCGUUUUAGGCAAGUGAAUGUUUGGUACAGCAGAUUUGGGGAUUCAUUGUAGGGUAGACUUGCCAUACAGUGCAGUGUUUUAAUUGGUAUUAUAUUGCGGCGAUCGGCGAGCACGGAGACCGAAGCCUCACUCGACCGUGUCUCGGGAGGCGUGGGGUUUGGUCCGAGGCCACUCGCAGUCAUCGUCGAGGGUAUAGUCCGGAACGCCGUUCGACGUGACGUCUCGUCGAAAUUCCGGAGCGGUCUUCUCGUCGCGGGGCGCGCCGGAGGUCGACGCUACGACGUUCCCGGAGGGGUCGUCGUCGUCGUCGUCGGGUAUUUGACGUGCAUCCGGAGUAGAACGAGGGCACGCGUCGAACCGUCGAAAGUGCGCAAGAAAUGAGAUCGCGUAAAUAACGGCAGAUUAAUUUCGUCGACACUCGUACGUAUAAGAGUGCAAAGUAAAUAAAUAAUACGUAUUUUUUUUAUGGGAAUUAGCCCACCCGGGCACGGGUCACCGACCCACAUCGGGGCGAAAAUGUAAUAAUAAUAAUAAUAAUUGUUGAAGUUACAGUGUUCAUUUUUGGUGGAUAUCAACGAAAUAUGAUGCGAGAGGCUCAGACGACGACACAAACGACGACGCUCUCUCCGGUAUAUUUUCGGGACCGUCCGUAAAAACGAAACCAAAACACGCGUGCGCAUUCAAAGUGGCGCAUUAUUGCACAAGUAAAAUAAAACAUAUUGCCAUAAAUAUGGGGUAACCUAGUUUAUAUGUAACAAUAAUACUGAAGAACCUUAAAGAAAUACAAAAUGGAAAAAAAAAUCAAAAGUGAGGAACAAUAGAUUUAUGUUGUGUUGUCAAUAGUAAGAGAAACAAUCGAGACAGAGAGUCAGACGAGCGACCCGGGACUCGGUCACAAUUUUAGGGAUGCCACGUAGCAGGAAGAUCUACCACGGACGACACAUUACGCUUCCAAUAUUGUCUGCGGAGGUGGUAUCUCCCCGUUUGGUGGCUGCCUAAGUAUGUAAGAUUUUCCAAUGGAAAGUGUAUGUUUGGCAAAUGUAUCCAGGUCUUUAGAGAAUGUACUCAGAUAUUUGGGUUAGGUGUCAAGGGUUCAUGUAUAAUUUGCAUGCCUAAUUGACUAUGUAUAUUUUUUAACCUUAAUUUUUCAUUUGCAGUCACCCGACGGGAGUCAGAAACGUCAUUUUUGUGCGGACCGGCGACUCGACGGACCCCGGCCGAGGACGCCGCUCGAACCGCGGUUGCGGAGGAGCGCGCCGAUACGAGUCGGAGACGGCUCGUACAGUCGGCGCACGAGAGCGGUCCGGACGAAGACAUUCGGGAACCGAGGACGAAGACGCUCGUCGACUGCGGACGAAGACACCGGUCGACGCGCGAGGAAGAUGCUCCGGAACACGGGAAGAACGCCACACUCCCGAGUGCGGGAAGACACUCGUCAACGCAGAAGGAGACACGCAUCAAUGUCGGGCCGGCGCGAUUGUUUUAAAGACGAUUUAACGUGUAAAAUGAAUGUACGUGUUGUUUGUAGUAUUGUUUUUAGAGACCGACUCUGCGAAGACGGAGGAAGUCGAUACAUGUCGAGAAUGAAUUUAUUGAAGAUGUUGCCUGUGAUCACUAGGUGUUUGCACUAAUUUGGGGAGAUGAUUACGAUCGUAGAACGUCACGGAAUGCGGCGCGCGCGUCAUUUGUGGCGGGACGCAUCCGUAAAUAACGGCAGCAUAAAUACGAGAGAACGCGGCGGCGGCGGCGGGGAAGUGCGCCUUUUGAAAGUAAAAGAACGGGGGAGAUCGGACCGACAUAGAUGGUGUUGGUGUGGUAACCGAUAAGAAUGGAGAAAUGAUGACUAUUUGGUGGGUUUUUUAGGACAGAGAGAGUAGUUAUAUAUUAGUGAAGAUAUAAAGUAAAAGGUGAUAAGGAUGGUGGUGGGGGGGGACAACGAAUGAUAUAUUUUGUAGGGUAUUAAAGGAAUUGACUCGUCAGUGCCGAGUCGGCGUAAUUGUGAGAAACGGAUGCGACGGGGAUUGUAAAGAAGUCGCGCGGUAGAGGAAUUGGCGGAAGCGACGAUCGCAAUAACCUUUCGACGUGGGACGGACGACGACGAAUUUAGUAAAUGGCGGUUUAGGAAAGGGUCGUACGUAAAGCGGCGGGUGCGG
RNAcentral lists this long non-coding RNA (4739 nucleotides) under Homarus americanus (American lobster). RNAcentral's name for it is "uncharacterized LOC121877513". The record is from RNAcentral. Lineage: Eukaryota; Metazoa; Arthropoda; Malacostraca; Decapoda; Nephropidae.